This 511-nucleotide ribosomal RNA is filed under the name uncultured bacterium. Its description in RNAcentral is "bacterial SSU rRNA". It matches the Rfam family "Bacterial small subunit ribosomal RNA", at positions 18 to 518 of the family's 1533-position model. The record is from RNAcentral.
CCUGGCUCAGGAUGAACGCUAGCGGCAGGCUUAACACGAUGCAAGUCGAGGGGCAGCGGGAUGUAGCAAUACAUUGCCGGCGACCGGCGGAUGGGUGCGUAACGCGUAUGCAACCUACCUUAUACAGGGGAAUAACCUUUCGAAAGGGAGACUAACACCCCAUAGUAUUGAUUUAAGGCAUCUUAGAUUAAUUAAAUAUUUAUAGGUAUAAGAUGGGCAUGCGUAUGAUUAGCUAGUUGGUAAGGUAACGGCUUACCAAGGCGACGAUCAUUAGGGGUUCUGAGAGGAAGGUCCCCCCACACUGGUACUGAGACACGGACCAGACUCCUACGGGAGGCAGCAGUGAGGAAUAUUGGUCAAUGGGCGCAAGCCUGAACCAGCCAUGCCGCGUGCAGGAAAAGACGGCCUUAUGGGUUGUAAACUGCUUUUACAUAAGACUAACCGUAUAUUUGCGAAUAUACCUGAAUGUAUUAUGAGAAUAAGGAUCGGCUAACUCCGUGCCAGCCGCAGC